RNAcentral lists this ribosomal RNA (432 nucleotides) under uncultured bacterium. RNAcentral describes it as "partial 16S ribosomal RNA". It matches the Rfam family "Bacterial small subunit ribosomal RNA", at positions 29 to 507 of the family's 1533-position model. The record is from RNAcentral.
ACGAACGCUGGCGGCAUGCCUAACACAUGCAAGUCGAACGAGACCUUCGGGUCUAGUGGCGCACGGGUGCGUAACGCGUGGGAACCUGCCCUUAGGUUCGGAAUAACUCCCCGAAAGGGGUGCUAAUACCGGAUAAUGUCUUCGGACCAAAGAUUUAUCGCCUUUGGAUGGGCCCGCGUUGGAUUAGCUAGUUGGUAGGGUAAAAGCCUACCAAGGCGACGAUCCAUAGCUGGUCUGAGAGGAUGAUCAGCCACACUGGGACUGAGACACGGCCCAGACUCCUACGGGAAGCAGCAGUGGGGAAUAUUGGACAAUGGGCGAAAGCCUGAUCCAGCAAUGCCGCGUGAGUGAUGAAGGCCUUAGGGUUGUAAAGCUUUUUUACCCGGGAUGAUAAUGACAGUACCGGGAGAAUAAGCUCCGGCUAACUCCGUG